GACGAACGCUGGCGGCGUGCUUAACACAUGCAAGUCGAACGGAAAGGCCCUGCUUUUGUGGGGUGCUCGAGUGGCGAACGGGUGAGUAACACGUGAGUAACCUGCCCUUGACUUUGAGAUAACUUCAGGAAACUGGGGCUAAUACCGGAUAGGAGCUCCUGCUGCAUGGGGGGGGUUGGAAAGUUUCGGCGGUUGGGGAUGGACUCGCGGCUUAUCAGCUUGUUGGUGGGGUAGUGGCUUACCAAGGCUUUGACGGGUAGCCGGCCUGAGAGGGUGACCGGCCACAUUGGGACAGAGAUACGGCCCAGACUCCUACGGGAGGCAGCAGUGGGGAAUAUUGCACAAUGGGCGGAAGCCUGAUGCAGCAACGCCGCGUGCGGGAUGACGGCCUUCGGGUUGUAAACCGCUUUCGCCUGUGACGAAGCGUGAGUGACGGUAAUGGGUAAAGAAGCACCGGCUAACUACGUG
RNAcentral lists this ribosomal RNA (468 nucleotides) under uncultured bacterium. RNAcentral's name for it is "partial 16S ribosomal RNA". It matches the Rfam family "Bacterial small subunit ribosomal RNA", at positions 28 to 507 of the family's 1533-position model. The record is from RNAcentral.